UACGAAGGGGGCGAGCGUUGCUCGGAAUUACUGGGCGUAAAGCGCGCGUAGGCGGCUUUGUAAGUUAGAGGUGAAAGCCCGGAGCUCAACUCCGGAACAACCUUUAAAACUGCAUCGCUUGAAUCCAGGAGAGGUGAGUGGAAUUCCGAGUGUAGAGGUGAAAUUCGUAGAUAUUCGGAAGAACACCAGUGGCGAAGGCGGCUCACUGGACUGGUAUUGACGCUGAGGUGCGAAAGCGUGGGGAGCAAACAGG
RNAcentral lists this ribosomal RNA (253 nucleotides) under uncultured bacterium. RNAcentral describes it as "partial 16S ribosomal RNA". It matches the Rfam family "Bacterial small subunit ribosomal RNA", at positions 524 to 776 of the family's 1533-position model. The record is from RNAcentral.